UACAGAGGUCCCAAGCGUUGUUCGGAUUCACUGGGCGUAAAGGGCGCGUAGGCGGCGGACACAGUCAGAUGUGAAAUUCCCGGGCUCAACCUGGGGGCUGCAUUUGAUACGUGUUUGCUUGAGUGGGGAAGAGGGUCGUGGAAUUCCCAGUGUAGAGGUGAAAUUCGUAGAUAUUGGGAAGAACACCGGUGGCGAAGGCGGCGACCUGGUCCUUGACUGACGCUGAGGCGCGAAAGCGUGGGGAGCAAACAGG
This 253-nucleotide ribosomal RNA is filed under the name uncultured bacterium. Its description in RNAcentral is "partial 16S ribosomal RNA". It matches the Rfam family "Bacterial small subunit ribosomal RNA", at positions 524 to 776 of the family's 1533-position model. The record is from RNAcentral.